GACGAACGCUGGCGGCGUGCUUAACACAUGCAAGUCGAACGGAAAGGCCCCCUUGUGGGGUCCUCGAGUGGCGAACGGGUGAGUAACACGUGAGUAACCUACCCUUGACUUUGGGAUAACUUCAGGAAACUGGGGCUAAUACCGGAUAGGAGCUCCUGCUGCAUGGUGGGGGUUGGAAAGUUUCGGCGGUUGGGGAUGGACUCGCGGCUUAUCAGCUUGUUGGUGGGGUAGUGGCUCACCAAGGCUUUGACGGGUAGCCGGCCUGAGAGGGUGACCGGCCAAAUUGGGACGGGGAAAGGCCCCAGACUCCUACGGGAGGCAGGAGGGGGGAAUAUUGCAAAAGGGGGGGAAGCCUGAGGCAGAACCCCCGGGGGGGGGAGGGCGGCCUUGGGGUGUUAACCCGCUUUCCCCGGUGACGAAGGGGGGGGGGCGGAAAUGGGAAAAAAAGCACCGGCUAACUACGG
RNAcentral lists this ribosomal RNA (464 nucleotides) under uncultured bacterium. RNAcentral's name for it is "partial 16S ribosomal RNA". It matches the Rfam family "Bacterial small subunit ribosomal RNA", at positions 28 to 506 of the family's 1533-position model. The record is from RNAcentral.